UGUCCAGUAGCACCUUAGAGACCAACUAAGUUUGUUCUGGGUAUAAGCUUUCAUUUGCAUACCCAGAACAAACUUAGUUGGUCUCUAAGGUGCUACUGGACA
This is a non-coding RNA of Podarcis lilfordi (Lilford's wall lizard), 102 nucleotides long. The record is from the annotation of a GenBank genome assembly. NCBI's taxonomy places the organism in Eukaryota, Metazoa, Chordata, Lepidosauria, Squamata, Lacertidae.